Molecule: small RNA, 28 nt
Filed under: Bombyx mori (domestic silkworm)
Lineage: Eukaryota; Metazoa; Arthropoda; Insecta; Lepidoptera; Bombycidae
Description: ovarian small RNA-23994
Source: RNAcentral
UAUGUACGUCACGACAAGUUGCGGCAGU